CCUACGGGUGGCUGCAGUGGGGAAUAUUGGACAAUGGGCGCAAGCCUGAUCCAGCCAUACCGCGUGGGUGAAGAAGGCCUUCGGGUUGUAAAGCCCUUUUGUUGGGAAAGAAAUCCAGCUGGCUAAUACCCGGUUGGGAUGACGGUACCCAAAGAAUAAGCACCGGCUAACUUCGUGCCAGCAGCCGCGGUAAUACGAAGGGUGCAAGCGUUACUCGGAAUUACUGGGCGUAAAGCGUGCGUAGGUGGUCGUUUAAGUCCGUUGUGAAAGCCCUG
RNAcentral lists this ribosomal RNA (275 nucleotides) under uncultured Stenotrophomonas sp. Its description in RNAcentral is "partial 16S ribosomal RNA". It matches the Rfam family "Bacterial small subunit ribosomal RNA", at positions 338 to 605 of the family's 1533-position model. Lineage: Bacteria; Pseudomonadati; Pseudomonadota; Gammaproteobacteria; Lysobacterales; Lysobacteraceae. The record is from RNAcentral.